GACGAACGCUGGCGGCGUGCUUAACACAUGCCAGUCGAACGCUGAAGCUCAGCUUUUGUUGGGUGGAUGAGUGGCGAACGGGUGAGUAACACGUGAGUAACCUGCCUCCUUCUUUGGGAUAACGCCCGGAAACGGGUGCUAAUACUGGAUAUUCACUGGUCUUCGCAUGGGGGUUGGUGGAAAGGGUUUUUCUGGUGGGGGAUGGGCUCGCGGCCUAUCAGCUUGUUGGUGGGGUGAUGGCCUACCAAGGCUUUGACGGGUAGCCGGCCUGAGAGGGUGACCGGUCACAUUGGGACUGAGAUACGGCCCAGACUCCUACCGGGGGCAGCAGUGGGGAAUAUUGCACAAUGGGCGCAAGGCUGAUGCAGCGACGCCGCGUGAGGGAUGGAGGCCUUCGGGUUGUGAACCUCUUUCGCUCAUGGUCAAGCCGCAACAAUGGUUGUGGUGAGGGUAGUGGGUAAAGAAGCGCCGGCUAACUACGUG
Molecule: ribosomal RNA, 483 nt
Filed under: uncultured bacterium
Lineage: Bacteria
Description: partial 16S ribosomal RNA
Rfam family: Bacterial small subunit ribosomal RNA
Source: RNAcentral